AGCCAUAGCUAAUUGCAUCAUCUGUGAUGGGGCAAUUGUAUUAUGCGAUCCAAAUGACACGUAUAGAACUGAAUUUACUGGCUUUCUAUCUGGCCAUUUCUUGCAAAGCUCUGUCGAAACUAUUCUGGCUUCUUUGCCAGAACGAGCUCGGUUUUUCGUUGGUAGUAGAACUAUUGCCCAAGCGGCUGGCGUAGUUUUCGCCGGAAGUAGGACAAACCAAUCUGAUCAAACUCC
Molecule: unclassified non-coding RNA, 234 nt
Filed under: Hevea brasiliensis (rubber tree)
Lineage: Eukaryota; Viridiplantae; Streptophyta; Magnoliopsida; Malpighiales; Euphorbiaceae
Source: RNAcentral